AGAAUCCUGGUAUUUAAGUGGAGAAGGGUUAAGGUACAGGUCCAUUAUCCACCGAACUUCAGACUCUGCACCAGUUGGCUCUCAAAAUAUUUCAGUUGUCAACGAAAAUAGAAGAGAUUUUGGGAGCAUAUACCUUGUGAAAAGGAAGGGUACAUAAUUUGUGCAGUCAGGAACUGGUGAAGCUGGGGUAUCAGAAAGUGACUGCAUCAUAGGAUUUAUCCAACAGCUGUUGUUCGAUUGUUUGUGUUCCCUUAAGUAGUGAUUUUUUCUUAAUCAUGAUUAGUUAGGGAGGUUGUAUUCUAGUAAUCUGUGCAUUAUUUUCUAUUUUGGAACAUGCGUACACACCCCCUAGUAGCUUCAAAGAGAAAUCAAGUUGUGCAUUCUCAAUGUGUCUCCCUCUCUUCGUCUUACUAUAGAAUUCUGAAGGACAACACUAAAUCCUUGGCUUUUGGUUAUUUUGAGACUUAACUGCUAUGUCAUACUUUUUCAGGAUUUCAAAGACAAAAUACCCAUGCUACAAUAGAAAUCUGGUCAAAUGGAUUUUGUCUGAACCAACAGAUCGUCUCUGCUGAGCCUUCUGCAGCACAUUGCAUGCAUAUAUCUUCUGUUCAGCAAUAAUAACUAGAUGACUCCAGCUACUUGGAAGUCUUCAAGCCAGUCAUAAUCCUUAAUGAGGUGUUACAACUGCAGUCAAUAUGACCUCGACCUUUGCUUUUGCAGAGAAAGGACAGUUGCUUACCAGAUGUUUAUAAAUUGGUUCUUUCGUACAACCAAUUGGAUAUUCUUGUGUUGUGUGAAUUCCUUUUUACCAAAAGUUAUGAGGAACCUCAGAGGUUUUGGGCCCUCAAGGAGGAAUUCGAGAAGUCCUCAGGGCUUUCGUCUAUUGGUAAGAGCACAACGCAUGAUGUGUGGAUUAGGUGCAUGUCACAAGUUUGAACUCUGCCGCAGACAGAAUCCUGGUAUUUAAGUGGAGAAGGGUUAAGGUACAGGUCCAUUAUCCACCGAACUUCAGACUGUGCACCAGUUGGCUCUCAAAAAAUUUCAGUUGUCAACGAAAAUAGAAGAGAUUUUGGGAGCAUAUACCUUGUGAAAAGGAAGGGUACAUAAUUUGUGCAGUCGGGAACUGGUAAAGCUGGCCGCUGUGGUAUCAGAAAGUGACUGCAUCAUAGGAGUUAUUUGUUGUCAUUAGUCUGCUGAAGCUGAAAGCAUUAGACCCGAACACAGGACUU
Molecule: long non-coding RNA, 1229 nt
Filed under: Solanum tuberosum (potato)
Lineage: Eukaryota; Viridiplantae; Streptophyta; Magnoliopsida; Solanales; Solanaceae
Description: long non-coding RNA (STUB_LNC010824)
Source: RNAcentral